UGCGCGCAGCGUAGGUUGCUUCCUCUUUGUGCUGCCGGGCGGUUGCGUGCAGAGUGGGCUACAGUGCUGUGUGCUUGAACUCUUGGGACGGGGCGGACCCGCGUUCCGGCGCUCAGUCUGAGAUGAGCACUCACGUGUUAUCCUGCACCAUGACCCAGCUCCUACCGUGGAUCUCCUGCAGGUUAUUGGUCAAACACAACCCCUGCACUAGAACCAUGUGUGGGCGAGUCACCUGAAGCAGACGCUUGCAUGUCUGUAUACCUGAGCCUGGUAACCAGAUAGGUUACAAUACAGUGAAAUUCGUUGUUAGUGAAGGACUCACGUGAAGUGAUAAAACUUCAAAGCUUGCAGUGUACUGUGGUAAAGAAGGAAGGUGUGGUCAUCUGCUACAGCAGUCUAGGACCAUGGACUGCAUACAGAGGAAUGUUCAUCUGCUGUAAUGGCCUUACAGAGAAGACUGUCAUAACGUUAUUUAAAAAAGUUUCUGAAAGUUAUUUAAUAUGGAAAUAAAACUACAUAAGUUACUGUGUAA
Long non-coding RNA from Pseudophryne corroboree (corroboree frog), 532 nucleotides. RefSeq lists it as uncharacterized. NCBI's taxonomy places the organism in Eukaryota, Metazoa, Chordata, Amphibia, Anura, Myobatrachidae. The record is from RefSeq and is a predicted model, not a curated record. The transcript is spliced from 4 exons.